CAAGUCCAGCAGUGGGAAUCACGUCGAAUUGCAAACUCGAAGAAGCCACUUAAGUGGCCCGGACU
RNAcentral lists this transfer RNA (65 nucleotides) under Dactylocnemis pacificus (Pacific gecko). RNAcentral describes it as "tRNA-Cys". The record is from RNAcentral. Lineage: Eukaryota; Metazoa; Chordata; Lepidosauria; Squamata; Diplodactylidae.